Molecule: ribosomal RNA, 275 nt
Filed under: uncultured bacterium
Lineage: Bacteria
Description: partial 16S ribosomal RNA
Rfam family: Bacterial small subunit ribosomal RNA
Source: RNAcentral
CCUACGGGUGGCUGCAGUAGGGAAUAUUGGUCAAUGGACGCAAGUCUGAACCAGCCAUGCCGCGUGCAGGAUGACGGUCCUAUGGAUUGUAAACUGCUUUUUUACGGGAAGAAACCCCUGGAUGCGUCCGGGGCUGACGGUACCGUACGAAUAAGGAUCGGCUAACUUCGUGCCAGCAGCCGCGGUAAGACGAAGGAUCCAAGCGUUGUCCGGAUUUACUGGGUUUAAAGGGUGCGUAGGCGGAAAUUUAAGUCAGUGGUGAAAGCCUCCCGCUU